UUUCUCCCUCUUUCUGCAUCUUCCUUUAUCUAUCCUCGACCUAAUUAUGUUCAUGUAAUGUGACCUCCUUCUCUCGGAGAAACGAUAGACGAGACAUACUUGGCAAGUGCUUCCACAAAUUAAGUUACUAAGGAACUUUCUAAUUAGACGCAUAAUGACAACAUUAUUUGAGGCAGCGCGUACGAAGAAGAGAGUAUACUCGAACAGCUUAAAUAACAAAACAGAAUUUCUGAGAAAAAUAUUUCCUAUAUUUUUACCGCGAAUUACGUCAAAUGUAAAAGAUAUUACUGAUUUAAAAAAUGCGAGCAGGAAACAUAUUAUCAACGAUAUUAUUUUAUGUAAUAUAUGGAAUUUCGCUCGAAUUUGAGGGAAAAAUAUCUUAUGUUAAUGUGUUUGAAAAAAAUAACUCAUUUUUCCGUCCUGUUGAAGUAGCGAACAUUUUUUGGAAGAAAAAAAAAAGAAAAGAAAACAGAAUUCCUGCAUAAGAAUAAACGUUUUAUUCUUAAUACGUGCCUUAUUGCACGCGGAUAGACUAAUUACACUUUAGCGAUUCUAUAGUGGACUGCGAGCGUAUGAGAGCUGGAUGAAGAGGCUGUUCUCAGGAGACGAUCGGAAGCUAAACGGUCGGGUCCUAAACUAAAACGGUUCGACGCCAUUCUUGGAGCAAUCUUUCACCGUGUAUCCGAAUGAAGAGAAAGGAGAGACAGUUCGGAGAGUAAAAGGAGCGACAGAAGAAAAAAAA
RNAcentral lists this long non-coding RNA (742 nucleotides) under Polistes fuscatus (common paper wasp). RNAcentral describes it as "uncharacterized LOC122514040". Lineage: Eukaryota; Metazoa; Arthropoda; Insecta; Hymenoptera; Vespidae. The record is from RNAcentral.